RNAcentral lists this ribosomal RNA (1367 nucleotides) under Vibrio sp. HGLP-31. RNAcentral's name for it is "bacterial SSU rRNA". It matches the Rfam family "Bacterial small subunit ribosomal RNA", at positions 76 to 1435 of the family's 1533-position model. Lineage: Bacteria; Pseudomonadati; Pseudomonadota; Gammaproteobacteria; Vibrionales; Vibrionaceae. The record is from RNAcentral.
AAGCUUGCUUUUGAAGAUGACGAGCGGCGGACGGGUGAGUAAUGCCUGGGAAUAUGCCUUGAUGUGGGGGAUAACCAUUGGAAACGAUGGCUAAUACCGCAUAAUGCCUACGGGCCAAAGAGGGGGAUCUUCGGACCUCUCGCGUCAAGAUUAGCCCAGGUGGGAUUAGCUAGUUGGUGAGGUAAUGGCUCACCAAGGCGACGAUCCCUAGCUGGUCUGAGAGGAUGAUCAGCCACACUGGAACUGAGACACGGUCCAGACUCCUACGGGAGGCAGCAGUGGGGAAUAUUGCACAAUGGGCGCAAGCCUGAUGCAGCCAUGCCGCGUGUGUGAAGAAGGCCUUCGGGUUGUAAAGCACUUUCAGUCGUGAGGAAGGUAGUUGCGUUAAUAGCGUAAUUAUUUGACGUUAGCGACAGAAGAAGCACCGGCUAACUCCGUGCCAGCAGCCGCGGUAAUACGGAGGGUGCGAGCGUUAAUCGGAAUUACUGGGCGUAAAGCGCAUGCAGGUGGUUUGUUAAGUCAGAUGUGAAAGCCCGGGGCUCAACCUCGGAAUUGCAUUUGAAACUGGCAGACUAGAGUACUGUAGAGGGGGGUAGAAUUUCAGGUGUAGCGGUGAAAUGCGUAGAGAUCUGAAGGAAUACCGGUGGCGAAGGCGGCCCCCUGGACAGAUACUGACACUCAGAUGCGAAAGCGUGGGGAGCAAACAGGAUUAGAUACCCUGGUAGUCCACGCCGUAAACGAUGUCUACUUGGAGGUUGUGGCCUUGAGCCGUGGCUUUCGGAGCUAACGCGUUAAGUAGACCGCCUGGGGAGUACGGUCGCAAGAUUAAAACUCAAAUGAAUUGACGGGGGCCCGCACAAGCGGUGGAGCAUGUGGUUUAAUUCGAUGCAACGCGAAGAACCUUACCUACUCUUGACAUCCAGAGAAGCCAGCGGAGACGCAGGUGUGCCUUCGGGAACUCUGAGACAGGUGCUGCAUGGCUGUCGUCAGCUCGUGUUGUGAAAUGUUGGGUUAAGUCCCGCAACGAGCGCAACCCUUAUCCUUGUUUGCCAGCGAGUAAUGUCGGGAACUCCAGGGAGACUGCCGGUGAUAAACCGGAGGAAGGUGGGGACGACGUCAAGUCAUCAUGGCCCUUACGAGUAGGGCUACACACGUGCUACAAUGGCGCAUACAGAGGGCUGCCAACCAGCGAUGGUGAGCGAAUCCCAAAAAGUGCGUCGUAGUCCGGAUUGGAGUCUGCAACUCGACUCCAUGAAGUCGGAAUCGCUAGUAAUCGUGGAUCAGAAUGCCACGGUGAAUACGUUCCCGGGCCUUGUACACACCGCCCGUCACACCAUGGGAGUGGGCUGCAAAAGAAGUGGGUAGUU